RNAcentral lists this long non-coding RNA (1635 nucleotides) under Linum usitatissimum (flax). Its description in RNAcentral is "long non-coding RNA (LUSI_LNC002998)". The record is from RNAcentral. Lineage: Eukaryota; Viridiplantae; Streptophyta; Magnoliopsida; Malpighiales; Linaceae.
CGCAUGACUAAUUUAGAUAUUAACCACCCAAAACAAGUCCAAAUAAAGUCAACGUCCACAAUAAACGGGAGUCCACCGAGUUCCGUCUUCGCUCCGUCAAAUCCCUUUCAUCCUCUUUUCUCCCCUAAAUUUCUUUACCUUCUCUUUCUCACCGUCGUCUUCCCCCAAAUCGAAAUCUCCGACGCCACCAAUUUUCACCUAGGAUCUGCCGGCAAUUCCCUUCCUCCGGCAGCGAGAGAGCGAGAGAGGGCUCCUCUUCUCACCCAUCCUUUUCCCCUAUCUUCACGAUUCCAUGAUCGCCCUCUCCCUCUCCUCCGCCGUCGCCGUCGCCGCCGCACCCCUCUCAUUUGAUGCAAACUUUGCGGCAUCGCGAACGGGUCAGCUCUGAAUCCGUUGAAUCCGAAACAAAAAUGGAUUCCGUCAAAUACCUAUCUCGAUCAGCUAAUCAUUUCCCUUACCACCCGAUCCCCCGACCCGCGAACCGAUCCAAAUCCAACCUCGUCGUUUUCGGGCUCGUUCUGAGCUUAAUUGCUUUGCUCUCCUGUUAUUAUCUAUUCAGCACGGGGAAGGUCGUGGAUUGGAAUAAGAAGUACGGAGUCUUCAUCGACGGAGGUAGUACUGGUACUCGGAUCCAUGUUUUCUCUUAUACGGUGGAGAAUGGGAGUCCGGUGUUUGAAUUCGGAGACAAGGAUACGGCGAUGAGGGUCAGUCCGGGGUUGUCGGCAUAUUCCGAUGAUCCGGAAUCCGGAGGGGAUUCGCUGAUCGAGCUGAUUGAGUUUGCGAAGGAGAGAGUUCCGAGGGAGAUGUGGAGGGAGACCGAAAUUCGGUUGAUGGCUACUGCUGGGAUGAGGCUGGUGGAAGGUGAUGUUCAAGGGAAGGUUAUGGAAGGGUGUAGGAACGUUUUGAGGGAGUCUGGGUUCUUGUUUAGGGAUGCGAUACUCACCUGGGGUCUUCCCCAAAUUCCCUUCCUCCGGCAGCUCGAGAGCGAGAGAGGGCUCCUCAUCCCACCCUUCAUUUUCCCCUUAUCUUCCCAAUUCCAUGUUCGCCCUCUCCCUCUCCUCCGCCGCCGUCGCCGCCGCACCCCUCUCAUUUGAUGCAAACUUUGCGGCAUCGCGAACGGGUCAGCUCUGAAUCCGUUGAAUCCGAAACAAAAAUGGAUUCCGUCAAAUACCUAUCUCGAUCAGCUAAUCAUUUCCCUUACCACCCGAUCCCCCGACCCGCGAACCGAUCCAAAUCCAACCUCGUCGUUUUCGGGCUCGUUCUGAGCUUAAUUGCUUUGCUCUCCUGUUAUUAUCUAUUCAGCACGGGGAAGGUCGUGGAUUGGAAUAAGAAGUACGGAGUCUUCAUCGACGGAGGUAGUACUGGUACUCGGAUCCAUGUUUUCUCUUAUACGGUGGAGAAUGGGAGUCCGGUGUUUGAAUUCGGAGACAAGGAUACGGCGAUGAGGGUCAGUCCGGGGUUGUCGGCAUAUUCCGAUGAUCCGGAAUCCGGAGGGGAUUCGCUGAUCGAGCUGAUUGAGUUUGCGAAGGAGAGAGUUCCGAGGGAGAUGUGGAGGGAGACCGAAAUUCGGUUGAUGGCUACUGCUGGGAUGAGGCUGGUGGAAGGUGAUGUUCAAGGGAAGGUUAUGGAAGGGUG